CAUUUGAUGUCUUAAUAAAAAUAAUUAAAAAUAAAAUGUAUUUUACUUUAUUUUAUUUUUUAAGCUAAGAUAUAUAUGAUGUCAGAUACUAUUUCAAAUCUCAAAAAAUAAUUGUUAAACUAAAUAAAAAAUGUGUAGAAAAUAGAGACUGUGAUUGACAUGUGUGUAAACCUAUCACUAUUCAGAAUGCGUCACACGGAACGACAGCGUUAAGCGGCAAAUUCAAAUCAGUAGCUUUUGAAAAUGGAUAUCAGACGCUGGUUAAAAACUAAUGGAAUUUAUCCGGAAAAAAAACCUGCAGUUACAGUUAGUAAGCCUAAAGUUAGCUUAAACCCUGACCGGGCUGAGCCUCUUGCUGGAGCUGGAUUUUCCCGUCUCCAGCUUUACUAGCAUCAAUCGGACCACUUUCAGAACUGAACAGGGUUUCCCGUGCAUCCUUUUUCCUCUCCACACAAAGUUCAACGUUCUCUCUCCCAUUGCACACACGCAUGCCCCGGCCGCUCCCGAGAGCACAGAGAGUGAACCGAUAAAAAAAUAAAAAUAAACACAACUUGUUAUGGUAA
Molecule: long non-coding RNA, 563 nt
Organism: Gadus morhua (Atlantic cod)
Lineage: Eukaryota; Metazoa; Chordata; Actinopteri; Gadiformes; Gadidae
Exons: 2
Source: RefSeq, a predicted model, not a curated record